RNAcentral lists this long non-coding RNA (207 nucleotides) under Lathyrus oleraceus (garden pea). RNAcentral describes it as "Pisum sativum (pea) long non-coding RNA (PSAT_LNC017425)". Lineage: Eukaryota; Viridiplantae; Streptophyta; Magnoliopsida; Fabales; Fabaceae. The record is from RNAcentral.
AAUGAUUCUAUUUUAGUGGAUUUCCUUCCUGGCUUGGUAGCCCCCAGACAUAGGUGAGUUUACACCGAACUGGGUUAACAAUUGCUUAUGUUUCUUGCAUUACUGUUCUCUAUCUUUUAUCCUGUUUGUAUUGUUCAGAUAUUAGUGUCGUGACAUUACCUUCGACAUCUCAUAUCUGAUACCAGAAUUUCAAAUACCUUCCCCUUG